AGCAACUUGGCGCAGUGGUAGCGCGCGGGGCCCAUAACCCCGAGGUCCCUGGAUCGAAACCAGGAGUUGCUA
This 72-nucleotide transfer RNA is filed under the name Cristinia sonorae. It matches the Rfam family "tRNA". Rfam says of the family: Transfer RNA (tRNA) molecules are approximately 80 nucleotides in length. Their secondary structure includes four short double-helical elements and three loops (D, anti-codon, and T loops). The record is from Rfam by way of RNAcentral. Lineage: Eukaryota; Fungi; Basidiomycota; Agaricomycetes; Agaricales; Stephanosporaceae.